GAAAAAGAACCUGAAACCGUGUACGUACAAGCAGUGGGAGCACGCUUAGGCGUGUGACUGCGUACCUUUUGUAUAAUGGGUCAGCGACUUAUAUUCUGUAGCAAGGUUAACCGAAUAGGGGAGCCGAAGGGAAACCGAGUCUUAACUGGGCGUUAAGUUGCAGGGUAUAGACCCGAAACCCGGUGAUCUAGCCAUGGGCAGGUUGAAGGUUGGGUAACACUAACUGGAGGACCGAACCGACUAAUGUUGAAAAAUUAGCGGAUGACUUGUGGCUGGGGGUGAAAGGCCAAUCAAACCGGGAGAUAGCUGGUUCUCCCCGAAAGCUAUUUAGGUAGCGCCUCGUGAAUUCAUCUCCGGGGGUAGAGCACUGUUUCGGCAAGGGGGUCAUCCCGACUUACCAACCCGAUGCAAACUGCGAAUACCGGAGAAUGUUAUCACGGGAGACACACGGCGGGUGCUAACGUCCGUCGUGAAGAGGGAAACAACCCAGACCGCCAGCUAAGGUCCCAAAGUCAUGGUUAAGUGGGAAACGAUGUGGGAAGGCCCAGACAGCCAGGAUGUUGGCUUAGAAGCAGCCAUCAUUUAAAGAAAGCGUAAUAGCUCACUGGUCGAGUCGGCCUGCGCGGAAGAUGUAACGGGGCUAAACCAUGCACCGAAGCUGCGGCAGCGACGCUUAUGCGUUGUUGGGUAGGGGAGCGUUCUGUAAGCCUGUGAAGGUGUGCUGUGAGGCAUGCUGGAGGUAUCAGAAGUGCGAAUGCUGACAUAAGUAACGAUAAAGCGGGUGAAAAGCCCGCUCGCCGGAAGACCAAGGGUUCCUGUCCAACGUUAAUCGGGGCAGGGUGAGUCGACCCCUAAGGCGAGGCCGAAAGGCGUAGUCGAUGGGAAACAGGUUAAUAUUCCUGUACUUGGUGUUACUGCGAAGGGGGGACGGAGAAGGCUAUGUUGGCCGGGCGACGGUUGUCCCGGUUUAAGCGUGUAGGCUGGUUUUCCAGGCAAAUCCGGAAAAUCAAGGCUGAGGCGUGAUGACGAGGCACUACGGUGCUGAAGCAACAAAUGCCCUGCUUCCAGGAAAAGCCUCUAAGCAUCAGGUAACAUCAAAUCGUACCCCAAACCGACACAGGUGGUCAGGUAGAGAAUACCAAGGCGCUUGAGAGAACUCGGGUGAAGGAACUAGGCAAAAUGGUGCCGUAACUUCGGGAGAAGGCACGCUGAUAUGUAGGUGAAGUCCCUUGCGGAUGGAGCUGAAAUCAGUCGAAGAUACCAGCUGGCUGCAACUGUUUAUUAAAAACACAGCACUGUGCAAACACGAAAGUGGACGUAUACGGUGUGACGCCUGCCCGGUGCCGGAAGGUUAAUUGAUGGGGUCAGCGCAAGCGAAGCUCUUGAUCGAAGCCCCGGUAAACGGCGGCCGUAACUAUAACGGUCCUAAGGUAGCGAAAUUCCUUGUCGGGUAAGUUCCGACCUGCACGAAUGGCGUAAUGAUGGCCAGGCUGUCUCCACCCGAGACUCAGUGAAAUUGAACUCGCUGUGAAGAUGCAGUGUACCCGCGGCAAGACGGAAAGACCCCGUGAACCUUUACUAUAGCUUGACACUGAACAUUGAGCCUUGAUGUGUAGGAUAGGUGGGAGGCUUUGAAGUGUGGACGCCAGUCUGCAUGGAGCCGACCUUGAAAUACCACCCUUUAAUGUUUGAUGUUCUAACGUGGACCCGUGAUCCGGGUUGCGGACAGUGUCUGGUGGGUAGUUUGACUGGGGCGGUCUCCUCCUAAAGAGUAACGGAGGAGCACGAAGGUUGGCUAAUCCUGGUCGGACAUCAGGAGGUUAGUGCAAUGGCAUAAGCCAGCUUGACUGCGAGCGUGACGGCGCGAGCAGGUGCGAAAGCAGGUCAUAGUGAUCCGGUGGUUCUGAAUGGAAGGGCCAUCGCUCAACGGAUAAAAGGUACUCCGGGGAUAACAGGCUGAUACCGCCCAAGAGUUCAUAUCGACGGCGGUGUUUGGCACCUCGAUGUCGGCUCAUCACAUCCUGGGGCUGAAGUAGGUCCCAAGGGUAUGGCUGUUCGCCAUUUAAAGUGGUACGCGAGCUGGGUUUAGAACGUCGUGAGACAGUUCGGUCCCUAUCUGCCGUGGGCGCUGGAGAACUGAGGGGGGCUGCUCCUAGUACGAGAGGACCGGAGUGGACGCAUCACUGGUGUUCGGGUUGUCAUGCCAAUGGCACUGCCCGGUAGCUAAAUGCGGAAGAGAUAAGUGCUGAAAGCAUCUAAGCACGAAACUUGCC
Molecule: ribosomal RNA, 2273 nt
Filed under: Escherichia coli
Lineage: Bacteria; Pseudomonadati; Pseudomonadota; Gammaproteobacteria; Enterobacterales; Enterobacteriaceae
Description: partial 23S ribosomal RNA
Rfam family: Bacterial large subunit ribosomal RNA
Source: RNAcentral